CCCUUAGAUGUUCUGGGCCGCACGCGCGCUACACUGACGAAGUCAGCGAGCAUGUCCUACGCCGACAGGUGCGGGGAAUCUCGUCAAACUUCGUCGUGAUGGGGAUUGAUUAUUGAAAUUCUUGAUCAUCAACGAGGAAUUCCUAGUAAGCGCAAGUCAGCAGCUUGCGUUGAUUACGUCCCUGCCCUUUGUACACACCGCCCGUCGCUACUACCGAUUGAAUGGUUUAGUGAGAUCUUCGGAUUGGCGCCACUGCGGCUCAGCAAUGGGCUCGGUGGAUGCCGAAAAGUUGAUCAAACUUGAUCAUUUAGAGGAAGUAAAAGUCGUAACA
Molecule: ribosomal RNA, 331 nt
Filed under: uncultured eukaryote
Lineage: Eukaryota
Description: partial 18S ribosomal RNA
Rfam family: Eukaryotic small subunit ribosomal RNA
Source: RNAcentral